RNAcentral lists this ribosomal RNA (241 nucleotides) under uncultured bacterium. RNAcentral describes it as "partial 16S ribosomal RNA". It matches the Rfam family "Bacterial small subunit ribosomal RNA", at positions 524 to 763 of the family's 1533-position model. The record is from RNAcentral.
UACGUAGGGUGCAAGCGUUGUCCGGAAUUAUUGGGCGUAAAGAGCUCGUAGGCGGUUUGUCGCGUCGAAUGUGAAAACUCGGGGCUUAACCCCCGAGCCUGCUUCUGAUACGGGCAGACUAGAGGUAUGCAGGGGAGAACGGAAUUCCUGGUGUAGCGGUGAAAUGCGCAGAGUAUCAGGAGGAACACCGGUGGCGAAGGCGGUUCUCUGGGCAUUACCUGACGCUGAGGAGCGAAGUGUG